RNAcentral lists this long non-coding RNA (1279 nucleotides) under Helianthus annuus (common sunflower). RNAcentral's name for it is "sRNA HanXRQr2_Chr02g0083231". The record is from RNAcentral. Lineage: Eukaryota; Viridiplantae; Streptophyta; Magnoliopsida; Asterales; Asteraceae.
CAAAGCAGUUUGAUAAUAUUAUCGAUUUGCACGCAGGGUGUGGAAAUUAAUCUGGAAAGAUCAUGGAAGAGGGAAACAAUGCACAAUUUAGCAAUGUUAUAAAAUCCGGUCGUUAAUUCCAUCCAUUUUUUCCGUUAAGUCAAGGGUAUUUCCGUCUUUUUUGUUAACUUAAGGGCGAUUCGGUCUUUUUCAAGGGUAUUCGGUCUUUUUACAUAAAGUGAAAAAGACCGAUAUGCUCUUGAUGAAGAUUUUUUAACAGCUUUGGAAUACGGAAGGCCACCCGCGUCAGGAAUGGGACUUGGGAUUGACAGGCUGGUGAUGCUUUUAAGGUUCAGCAAUAAUAUAUAUCGAAGUUUUGAAUUUCAGGUUUCGUAUGUCCAAGUCGUUGUUCCUAAAAAUUGUUAGUGACGUGGAAGCGUAUGACGAGUGGUUUCAAGAAGGCUUAGACGGGAGAAUGAAGAAAAGCUUUACACCGUUGCAAAAGGUUACUUCGGCAAUUAAACAACUUGCAACCGGUAACCCACCAGACGAGGGGGACGAGUAUUUAAAUAUGUCUGAAAGGACCUCUCGUGAGUGCCUUGAAUAUUUCUGCGAGACGGUUUGUAAAAGGUAUGGCGGUGAAUUCCUACGUAGACCAACGAGCCACGACAUCGCGCUAUUGUAUCAGGCUCAUGAGGAUAGGCAUCACCUACCUGGUAUGUUAGGGAGUCUGGAUUGUACACACUUCGUCUGGAGAAUGUGCCCCACAGAAUUGCGUGGACAAUACAUGAGAGGCGAUCAUCAAUACCCGACGAUUAUGUUAGAAGCGGUAGCGUCUCAAGAUUUGUGGAUUUGGCAUGCUUUUUGUGGGCCAGCGGGUUCACAAAACGAUAUCAACGUGCUGCAACAAUCUCCGUUAUUUCUUGCUCAACGAAAUGGAACGGCGCCAAAUUGUCCAUUUCAAGUGAACAACCAUUUAUACAAACGCGGGUAUUAUCUUACUGAUGGGAUCUACCCUACCUGGUCCGUGUUUGUGAAGUCUUUUCCAUAUCCACACGACCCGAACGAAAAAAAAUUCAAGAGGCAACACGAGGCCGCAAGAAAAGAUGUGGAACGGGCGUUUGGUGUGUUAAAGUCGAAGUGGGGAAUACUAAAUCGUCCAAUGCGUUCGAAAACGGUGAAAAAAAUAAGGUCCAUCGUGUAUACGUGCCUUAUUUUACACAACAUGAUUAUAAAAGACGACGGAAGGGCGAUAGCACCGGUUCAUAUUCAAGAUCCUCCAGUCGAACCCGUCUUCGAU